Molecule: ribosomal RNA, 497 nt
Filed under: uncultured bacterium
Lineage: Bacteria
Description: partial 16S ribosomal RNA
Rfam family: Bacterial small subunit ribosomal RNA
Source: RNAcentral
GAUGAACGCUGGCGGCGUGCCUAAUACAUGCAAGUCGAGCGAACAGACGAGGAGCUUGCUCCUCUGACGUUAGCGGCGGACGGGUGAGUAACACGUGGAUAACCUACCUAUAAGACUGGGAUAACUUCGGGAAACCGGAGCUAAUACCGGAUAAUAUAUUGAACCGCAUGGUUCAAUAGUGAAAGACGGUUUUGCUGUCACUUAUAGAUGGAUCCGCGCCGCAUUAGCUAGUUGGUAAGGUAACGGCUUACCAAGGCAACGAUGCGUAGCCGACCUGAGAGGGUGAUCGGCCACCCUAGAACUGAGACACGGUCCAGACUCCUACGGGAGGCAGCAGUAGGGAAUCUUCCGCAAUGGGCGAAAGCCUGACGGAGCAACGCCGCGUGAGUGAUGAAGGUCUUCGGAUCGUAAAACUCUGUUAUUAGGGAAGAACAAAUGUGUAAGUAACUAUGCACGUCUUGACGGUACCUAAUCAGAAAGCCACGGCUAACUACGUG